UGAUUGUCUCUCAACAACAGAAAACUACAGGUGGGAUUUUCCUGAGCAUCACAAAGAAAGGAAAUCCAAGGUGGAGAAGCCCGUUCAC
This is a long non-coding RNA of Myripristis murdjan (pinecone soldierfish), 88 nucleotides long. RefSeq lists it as uncharacterized. Lineage: Eukaryota; Metazoa; Chordata; Actinopteri; Holocentriformes; Holocentridae. The record is from RefSeq and is a predicted model, not a curated record. The transcript has 4 exons.